Long non-coding RNA from Aphis gossypii (cotton aphid), 257 nucleotides. RefSeq lists it as uncharacterized. The transcript has 3 exons. The record is from RefSeq and is a predicted model, not a curated record. Lineage: Eukaryota; Metazoa; Arthropoda; Insecta; Hemiptera; Aphididae.
GUACUACGUCCUGAUCGACACCGUGCACUGUAGGGUUGGUAUAUUAAAUUCGGGUCCAAAAACCAUUCUCCGGCCGAGAAUAGCAUUUCCAAUUAAAUACGUCGCUGUUUGGUGUCUUUUUUUGCACGCAACGCGCACUAAUGAGAUCGAAAACGUUCGACACGAUAAUAGGUAAUAAUAUUAUUGUUAUGUUGUAUGUAAUGAGCUUCACCAUUCAUAGGUUUUCGAAAAUGAAUAACCAAUGACGUUAAUAUCAC